ACUAGCUGAGAAUGGGGAGAACAAGGAAAGAGAAGGUUAGACAGAGAAUGAAAGGCAAGCAUUCCUAUCUCUGCAUCUGUUCCUUUAUUUUUUCACUUUUUGCUUAAAAGAGAAAUCCAAGCUACCAUGCCUGCAUCUCUGGUAAAAUUCAAAGAAUGAAGCAGGGGAGCUGAACAAUAAAAGACUCUGUUCAAAGCAGCUUUGGUCCCUUCUGUAUGCAACUGGUAUGCCCUACAACUGGACUAUGCCCCCAUGGCAUGUUAUCCUGCAUUUUUGUCUCAAGAAAGAACUCAUUUGGUCUCCUGGGGAAGCAGAACUAGAAGAAGAAGAAUGGGCUGCAAAUUUAACACAAACUCACCAAUGGAUCUCCAAAAGUGCUGUGUAAAAAAUAUUUAAAAAUUGCGAGCAGAGGAUGCAGAAGGGUCAUCAUACGAGGAGUUCGUCAGAUGGCUUCCCUCCUCCGUUUCUACACACUUCAAAGACAGUUCAAAGACGGACUCCCACAGAGCCCAUCAAACAAUGCAGGACUGCUUCUUAUGGUUGCGCAUCUCCCCAGCAUAGGACUCCAUCUCCUAAAUGGGGAAUUCUAAGUCUGGCACAAAUCGACUCCACUCCAUUGCAUAUGGGUAGAAACACCUAAAAACAGGCAUCUGUCCAUGGGAUAGGGAGCGGUGGAUUUCUCCUACCCUGUUUCCCCUAAAAUAAGACAUCCCCAGAAAAUAAGACCUAAUAGAGGUUUUGCUGAAUUGCUAAAUAUAAGGCCUCCCCCGAAAGUAAGACCUAGCAAAGUUUUUGUUUGGAAGCAUGCCUGCCAAACAGAACACCAGAGUAUGCAGGAUCGGCAAAUGUACAUACCAGAGUGUUGUACAUGGAAAUAAUGGUAGUAACAAGAAAUUCUCGAUAGGAUUCACAAUUUGUCUGGUUAUGCUGAUUUGUGAUGACAACUACUGUACAGUAUAUAAUAAAUGUUCAUUUUUUUGUUCAACAAUAAAUGUGAAUUCUUCUUCAUGGAAAAAUAAGACAUCCCCUGAAAAUAAGACCUAGAGCAUCUUUGGGAGCAAAAAAUUAAUAUAAGACACUGUCUUGUUUUCGGGGAAA
Long non-coding RNA from Anolis carolinensis (green anole), 1098 nucleotides. RefSeq lists it as uncharacterized. The transcript is spliced from 3 exons. The record is from RefSeq and is a predicted model, not a curated record. Lineage: Eukaryota; Metazoa; Chordata; Lepidosauria; Squamata; Anolidae.